UAGUGGGGGAUAGCCCGGCGAAAGCCGGAUUAAUACCGCAUACGAUCUGAGGAUGAAAGCGGGGGACCUUCGGGCCUCGCGCUAUAGGGUUGGCCGAUGGCUGAUUAGCUAGUUGGUGGGGUAAAGGCCUACCAAGGCGACGAUCAGUAGCUGGUCUGAGAGGACGACCAGCCACACUGGGACUGAGACACGGCCCAGACUCCUACGGGAGGCAGCAGUGGGGAAUUUUGGACAAUGGGCGAAAGCCUGAUCCAGCAAUGCCGCGUGUGUGAAGAAGGCCUUCGGGUUGUAAAGCACUUUUGUCCGGAAAGAAAUCCUUGGUUCUAAUAUAGCCGGGGGAUGACGGUACCGGAAGAAUAAGCACCGGCUAACUACGUGCCAGCAGCCGCGGUAAUACGUAGGGUGCAAGCGUUAAUCGGAAUUACUGGGCGUA
This 433-nucleotide ribosomal RNA is filed under the name uncultured Burkholderia sp. RNAcentral describes it as "bacterial SSU rRNA". It matches the Rfam family "Bacterial small subunit ribosomal RNA", at positions 134 to 562 of the family's 1533-position model. The record is from RNAcentral. Lineage: Bacteria; Pseudomonadati; Pseudomonadota; Betaproteobacteria; Burkholderiales; Burkholderiaceae.